Molecule: non-coding RNA, 370 nt
Filed under: Beta vulgaris subsp. vulgaris (sugar beet)
Lineage: Eukaryota; Viridiplantae; Streptophyta; Magnoliopsida; Caryophyllales; Amaranthaceae
Description: Eukaryotic small subunit ribosomal RNA
Rfam family: Eukaryotic small subunit ribosomal RNA
Source: Rfam by way of RNAcentral
UACCUGGUUGAUCCUGCCAGUAACAUAUGCUUGUCUCAAAGACUAAGCCAUGCAUGUCUAAGUAUAAACAACUUUAUACUGUGAAACUGCGUACAGCUCAUUAUAUCAGCAAUUAUUUAUUUGAUGGUACCUUACUACAUGGAUAACCGUGGUAAUUCUAGAGCUAAUACAUGCACAAAGUCCCGACUCUUGCGGGGAGGGAUGUAUUUAUUAGAUACAAAACCAAUACCACCUCUGGUGGGCAUUGUGGUGACUCAUAAUAACUGAUCGAAUCGCAUGGCUUCACGCUGGCGAUAGUCUCAUUCAAAUUUCUGCCCUAUCAACUUUCGAUGGUAGUGUAAAGGCUACCAUGGCUAUAACGGGUAACGGG